Pungitius pungitius (ninespine stickleback) is the source of this 427-nucleotide long non-coding RNA. RefSeq lists it as uncharacterized. The record is from RefSeq and is a predicted model, not a curated record. NCBI's taxonomy places the organism in Eukaryota, Metazoa, Chordata, Actinopteri, Perciformes, Gasterosteidae. The transcript is spliced from 3 exons.
UAGCCCGUGAUCUCAUGAGAAUGCUGAAGAACCAGGACUGACAACAUGCCACCGGAUUGUGGCGUACAGAAUUAAACCCAGGGACAGAUUAAGCAUUGGAACAACGUGGGGAGAACAGACACGCAACAACACCCAAAGUCCAUCACUAAUGCACUAAGGAUCAGGCUGAUAAGAGGGAUUUUGGACAAUUGGUUUCUAUCUGCACAAUGACUUCUGGUAAAGAUUCAUUGACCUUUUGCGGUAUGUUUUGAUUUUACUUAUUAAUACACUGCUUAGUUGGGAUUCAAAGUGUAAUGUUUGUGCUCAUAUAUUAUCAAAAUUAAAUUGAGCCACCUAGGGUCUGGAGAAUAUUAUGGAUAACUGUAUAAUACUGAAUUGGAAAAAUCCCUUCAGCUCAACAGCCUAAUGUGUUGCUAUCUCCACCUGU